GUUGGUGAGGUAAUGGCUCACCAAGGCAACGACGGGUAGCCGGCCUGAGAGGGCGACCGGCCACACUGGGACUGAGACACGGCCCAGACUCCUACGGGAGGCAGCAGUGGGGAAUAUUGGGCAAUGGAGGAAACUCUGACCCAGCGACGCCGCGUGCGGGAUGAAGGCCUUCGGGUUGUAAACCGCUUUCAGUAGGGAAGAAGCGAAAGUGACGGUACCUACAAAAGAAGCACCGGCUAACUAUGUGCCAGCAGCCGCGGUAAUACAUAGGGUGCAAGCGUUGUCCGGAAUUAUUGGGCGUAAAGAGCUCGUAGGUCGUUUGUUACGUCGGAUGUGAAAACCUGAGGCUCAACCUCAGGCCUGCAUUCGAUACGGGCAAACUAGAGUUUGGUAGGGGAGACUGGAAUUC
RNAcentral lists this ribosomal RNA (409 nucleotides) under uncultured Actinomycetes bacterium. RNAcentral's name for it is "bacterial SSU rRNA". It matches the Rfam family "Bacterial small subunit ribosomal RNA", at positions 248 to 669 of the family's 1533-position model. Lineage: Bacteria; Bacillati; Actinomycetota; Actinomycetes. The record is from RNAcentral.